This is a long non-coding RNA of Oncorhynchus tshawytscha (Chinook salmon), 1268 nucleotides long. The record is from Ensembl. Lineage: Eukaryota; Metazoa; Chordata; Actinopteri; Salmoniformes; Salmonidae.
CAAUUCAAUUCAAUUCAAUUCAAUUCAAGGUGCUUUAUUGGCAUGGGAAACAUGUGUUAACAUUGCCAAAGCAAGUUAGGUAGAUAAUAUACAAUUACACAGGUAGUAAUGUUCUGAUUGGUUGUUCUACUGGCUGUCUCUACAGGUGAGACACACAGGUAGUAAUGUUCUGGUUGGUUGUUCUACUGGCUGUCUCUACAGGUGAGACACACAGGUAGUAAUGUUCUGGUUGGUUGUUCUACUGGCGGUCUCUACAGGUGAGACACACAGGUAGUAAUGUUCUGGUUGGUUGUUCUACUGGCUGUCUCUACAGGUGAAACACACAGGUAGGAAUGUUCUGGUUGGUUGUUCUACUGGCUGUCUCUACAGGUGUUGCAGGAAGCUACAUAUCUAACAUGGCACAGAGGGAUUUUUCUCCUUUUCUGUUUUGGCUUCCAAAAUCUUUUGUGUUUCCGUUACAUUUUGGGGAAGAAAAUUACCUGUAAGUCUGUAUAGUUCUGGCAGUGUAAAAAAUGAAGCUCUGUCUCAACUUGUCCUCUCAUGGUAGCCAGAUCUGUCUGUGAUUGCCAGUCUCUACGGCCAGGCUGUCCUCUCUGGGUAGCCAGAUCUGUCUGUGAUUGCCAGUCUCUACGGCCAGGCUGUCCUCUCUGGGUAGCCAGAUCUGUCUGUGAUUGCCAGUCUCUACGGCCAGACUGUCCUCUCUGGGUAGCCAGAUCUGUCUGUGAUUGCAAGUCUCUACGGCCAGACUGUCCACAGAGUUUUCUAUCAGACACAGUGGUCAGAUACCUGAUGUACUGUCUGUUUAGAGACAGAUUUUCUGAGUGCUGUCCUGAGGCGCUCUGUCAAUUCAAUUUCAAUUCAAGGGCUUUAUUGGCAUGGGAAACAUGUGUUAACAUUGCCAAAGCAAGUGAGGUAGAUAAUAUACAAAGUGAAAUAAACAAUAAAAAUUAACAGUAAACAUUACACAUACAGAAGUUUCAAAACAAUAAAGACAUUACAAAUGUCAUAUUAUAUAUAUACAGUGUAUUAACAAUGUACAAAUGGUUAAAGGACACAAGAUAAAAUAAAUAAGCAUAAAUAUGGGUUGUAUUUACAAUGGUGUUUGUUCUUCACUGGUUGCCCUUUUCUCGUGGCAACAGGUCACAAAUCUUGCUGCUGUGAUGGCACACUGUGGAAUUUCACCCAGUAGAUAUGGAAGUUUAUCAAAAUUGGAUUUGUUUUUGAAUUCUUUGUGGAUCUGUGUAAUCUGAGGGAAAUAUGUCUCUCUA